This is a long non-coding RNA of Helianthus annuus (common sunflower), 1956 nucleotides long. RefSeq lists it as uncharacterized. The record is from RefSeq and is a predicted model, not a curated record. Lineage: Eukaryota; Viridiplantae; Streptophyta; Magnoliopsida; Asterales; Asteraceae. The transcript is spliced from 4 exons.
UGAGCAGCUCUGUAUUAUGACACAUUCAGGUGAAGAUGAAGACAGGUGGAGUGGAAGGGGUUGCUGAUUGUUGAUUAGGGAUGGAAGGGUGGACUGGUAUGACGAUAGGGUGUUGGUUUCGCUGCGAUGAAGACAAGUGGAGACGGUGGUUUGACCCCGCCGAUAAGGUUUUCGACGGCAACCCUAGCCGCCCUUAAGGUUUCCGACCACAACUGUCGCGGUUCAGGUCAUCCACAUCCAUAUUACUUCUCUAUGAUUUCGGCAACAAAUUCAUCCAUACUUGCAUGUUUCAUAGAGGAUUUCUUCAACAAAUGCUAAACUUUAGCAGAUCACAAACUAGACCAAGGCCAAACCGAUCUCAUCCUUUGGGAGGUAAUUCAUUAUACACAUGUUGUUUGGAUCAUGAUUUCAAUAUUAUGAUUCUUAAUUUCGUCAUUAUUGUAAUGAUAUGGCCACAAGAUCAUUGACUUGUGUUAUUUUAUGUUAUAUCAAACUGAGCACGUCAAGUUAAAGUAUCAAUGAUGAUCAAUCUAUAAAGCUGGCUUUUAAAAGGCGCCACUGACAUGCACCUCAUGCACAAGGCUGGUCGCUUCUAAAUUGAAAAGUCCCAAUGUGUAUAGAAGGCAUACUAAAGGCGAGGCAGACGCACGGAAAAGUGGCUGGAAGCGGAAAAACAAACAAUAUGUUUGAUCAUGUGCCUAAAGCGGAUGCAGUUCUGUGAAUAGUAGAACUCCAGAAUGCAGGUGUUGUCGCUUACUGCUUUGGAGCUCCGUGUAUCACGAGUAAAUAAGUUUACCUAUUAGAAUUGGUCGAUGAGUUUUUAUGUUGGUGAUUUUGUGGAAACACAAUUUGUUUCGAAUUUCAUAUGAAACUAAUUACAAGAUUUGUAGGAAGCUGUUGGUGGAGUCUGCUACUUUGGUGCUUCUAUAAUGUCUUUAGUGCCAUCAGACAACUUUGGUGCUUAUAUAAUGCAAAGCCAAGUUGAAAGCCCGUUAAGAUUUGUAUCCUUCUUGGAAAAGCUAACUGAUCUUAAGAUGCUUCAAUGGCUAUGAUGGUCCGCUGAGCUUUCUGUUGUGAGAAUCAGUUUGCAUAUUGGUUGUGCAUAUAAGGUGUUCGUUAAAAAUGGCUAAAAGAUAGUGUUUGUGCAGUCGGCUAUGGUUAGUAUUUGCUACUUUUAAUUUUGAAAUGGUUCAAGGUCUAUGAUGCUUUUAGUUUUGUGAUGGUACAGGGGCUAUGAUGUUUGCGUAAGCCCUUUCGAGAACAUAUGACUGGUGUGGCUGAAUAUCUGCCUUUUUUAAUUUUCGAAUAGUUCUUUUUUUGUUCGCGUGGCUAUGUUUCAGGGGCUAUAAUGGUUGCCUGCACCCUCUAUUGAGUAUGCGCAUUGUUCUCAUGUGUAAUUUUGUGAUGGUACAGGAGCUAUGAAGUUCGCCUGAGCCCUUGUGUUUUUUUUAGAAACAAAGACAAUAACCUAUUCGGAACAGAAAAUUGCGUCAAAAACUCGAUUCCGUCACUACGACGGAACUGUCCAACCCAGAAGGAGGCAACGGUGUGGUACUUGAACUGUAUGGUGUGGUAUUCAGAUCGAAAAAUAAUCGGAAUCGUUGAUAAUUGGAUUUCCGGCGAGUUAUUUAACACGGCUAGGGAUCGGUGGGUUUGAUAAUGCGAUGAGUAACUUGGAAGUUAGGUUACAAACGCAAGCUGUCGGAGGAGAUUUGUUUCGGAAAUGGGCAUUUGAAAGUGUGACGUUUGGGUGGGAUUCGGUGACGAUCUACGAGAUGAUGCAAUGUACGCCUUAUUUAUCAAAGGAGCAGUGCAGUUUGUGUUUGUACGGACUGGUUUGAAGGUUUUGCCAACUGUGAUGUAAUUUAGUUCUAAGUAGAUUGUUCCUAAUUAUUUGAGUUGUAAUUGUGAAUCGUAUAGUUCGACUUUUUAUUGUCAAAUUGAUUACUCUUCAGU